Molecule: long non-coding RNA, 389 nt
Organism: Pezoporus occidentalis (night parrot)
Lineage: Eukaryota; Metazoa; Chordata; Aves; Psittaciformes; Psittacidae
Exons: 3
Source: RefSeq, a predicted model, not a curated record
CACAGAGCCCUUAUCCCCACGCUCACCUCGCUCCACCGCACCGAGGGGCCCGAGCCCCGGCGCUCCAAACACCGCCUACCAGCCGCGUCCCGCCGCCAUGGCCGCCGCAGGGGAGUUCUGUGCAGCUCUUCUGACAAGUGCAAGAUAGGCAGUGGGAAUGAGACCUGUAAUGAAUCCACUGGAGGCACAGUGCAAGCAGAAGCGCUGCUCUUGGAUGAAGCUCUUCAGCCUCUGUGAGGAGGGAGAAAACGAUGUCUUUCAGCAUUCCUCUGGAUUCUGCACAUCCCAUCUGCAGGAUUCCGCACGUUGGAAUCAAGAGAUGAUUCACUGGAAUUUUAAUCAAGAAAAUCAGGGCAGCUUGAGCCCAGUUUCCCACCCCUUCUUGGAAG